Molecule: ribosomal RNA, 382 nt
Filed under: uncultured eukaryote
Lineage: Eukaryota
Description: partial 18S ribosomal RNA
Rfam family: Eukaryotic small subunit ribosomal RNA
Source: RNAcentral
CAAUAGCGUAUAUUAAAGUUGUUGCAGUUAAAAAGCUCGUAGUUGGAUUUCUGGUUGAAGCGACCGGUCGGGCGUUGAUUCGUCUGCACUGGAGUCGGUUUUGGCCAUCCUCUAGGAAAGUGCGUCUGGUAUUAAGUUAUCGGGCGUAUGAUCCAGGUCUUUUACUGUGAAAAAAUUAGAGUGUUUAAAGCAGGCCUUCGCCUUGAAUACAUUAGCAUGGAAUAAUAAGAUAGGACUUUGGUCUAUUUUGUUGGUUUGCAGACCGAAGUAAUGAUUAAUAGGGAUAGUUGGGGGUAUUUAUAUUCCGAUGUCAGAGGUGAAAUUCUUAGAUUUUCGGAAGAUAAACUUAUGCGAAAGCAUUUACCAAGGAUGUUUUCAUUAA